This 190-nucleotide ribosomal RNA is filed under the name uncultured bacterium. RNAcentral's name for it is "partial 16S ribosomal RNA". It matches the Rfam family "Bacterial small subunit ribosomal RNA", at positions 1306 to 1500 of the family's 1533-position model. The record is from RNAcentral.
UGCAACUCGCCUACACGAAGCUGGAAUCGCUAGUAAUCGCGGAUCAGCACGCCGCGGUGAAUACGUUCCCGGGCCUUGUACACACCGCCGUCACACCAUGAGAGUCGGGAACACCCGAAGUCCGUAGCCUAACCGCAAGGGGGCGCGGCGAAGGUGGUUCGAUAAUUGGGUGAAGUCGUAACAAGGUAAC